Molecule: ribosomal RNA, 253 nt
Filed under: uncultured bacterium
Lineage: Bacteria
Description: partial 16S ribosomal RNA
Rfam family: Bacterial small subunit ribosomal RNA
Source: RNAcentral
UACGGGGGGGGCAAGCGUUGUUCGGAAUUACUGGGCGUAAAGCGUGCGCAGGCGGUUGUGUAAGACAGAUGUGAAAUCCCCGGGCUCAACCUGGGAACUGCAUUUGUGACUGCACGGCUGGAGUGCGGCAGAGGGGGAUGGAAUUCCGCGUGUAGCAGUGAAAUGCGUAGAUAUGCGGAGGAACACCGAUGGCGAAGGCAAUCCCCUGGGCCUGCACUGACGCUCAUGCACGAAAGCGUGGGGAGCAAACAGG